GUAGUUAAGUAGAUAAAUCAUACACUUAUUUCAUGUUAAUUUUUUUUAUUAUAAAUUUUCGAAAUUUUAAUUAGCAGAACUGAAUAUUAUCGUUCAAUGAUAGCAAUAAAAAAUUUUCUGCAAAAAUAACAAUUUAAAAUCUCUAAAAGUCUUAACUAGAUAAAACAAUAAUAGUUUGUACUAAAUUUUGAUUUAAAAAAAAAAAAAAGAAACAGCAAGCAUGCAAAUGGAUUAACACAAAAGUACCAUUGUUGGCAACAAAACAAAAGGGGCAGCGUAUUGGAAACAAAGAAAAAAGUCAGCAUGACGGCAUGAAUUCAGGUAAAGAAAGUAUGAAAAAGAAAAGAAACCCAAUUGGGUUGGGAAAGGGAAGAUAUGAAGAAGGAAGAAGAAGAAAAAUAAAAAAAUAAAAAAUAAAUAAAAAAGAUCCCACUCAAUCAUUAGGGAAAAAUGCACUACCUCUCUCUCAAGCACUAUUCAGAUGCUUGAGCUAAUUAAAUCCAAAAAUGUAUGGCGUUGCCCUUGCUAGAUGUUAAAUAGUCAAUUUCUCAGCUGCUUAAUCUUUAGAUUCAUGUCUUUAAGAGAUGUCAAAGUCAUUGGUGUCUUAUGUAAUUGGAAAUUCUUUAGCAGUAUGUUUUGCUUCUAAUAUUCUGCAAAAGUUUGUAUGGUUUGGCGUCCCAAUCAUUUCUUCUGGUAGGUCAAUAUCCAGGAAUGUAAAUGUACUCAUCCAUGCCUUAAACAAGAUUCAUGACAUUUGUGCACCAUAGUUGAUGCACUCAGAUAUGAACUCAGCUACCUUAAUACUUCAUCCUACACCACUAGAGUAGCCUUCCAUUUACACGUGCAUUUGGAACAGGGGACUAACUGGUGAGCGUACAG
Molecule: unclassified non-coding RNA, 879 nt
Filed under: Hevea brasiliensis (rubber tree)
Lineage: Eukaryota; Viridiplantae; Streptophyta; Magnoliopsida; Malpighiales; Euphorbiaceae
Source: RNAcentral